AGUAAUACAUAAGUAACCUGCCCUAGACAGGGGGAUAACUAUUGGAAACGAUAGCUAAGACCGCAUAGGUACGGACACUGCAUGGUGACCGUAUUAAAAGUGCCUCAAAGCACUGGUAGAGGAUGGACUUAUGGCGCAUUAGCUGGUUGACGGGGUAACGGCCCACCAAGGCGACGAUGCGUAGCCGACCUGAGAGGGUGACCGGCCACACUGGGACUGAGACACGGCCCAG
Molecule: ribosomal RNA, 232 nt
Filed under: uncultured bacterium
Lineage: Bacteria
Description: partial 16S ribosomal RNA
Rfam family: Bacterial small subunit ribosomal RNA
Source: RNAcentral